Molecule: ribosomal RNA, 253 nt
Filed under: uncultured bacterium
Lineage: Bacteria
Description: partial 16S ribosomal RNA
Rfam family: Bacterial small subunit ribosomal RNA
Source: RNAcentral
UACGUAGGGCGCAAGCGUUGUCCGGAAUUAUUGGGCGUAAAGAGCUCGUAGGCGGCUUGUCGCGUCGGAUGUGAAAGCCCGGGGCUUAACCCCGGGUCUGCAUUCGAUACGGGCAGGCUGGAGUGUGGUAGGGGAGAUCGGAAUUCCUGGUGUAGCGGUGAAAUGCGCAGAUAUCAGGAGGAACACCGGUGGCGAAGGCGGGUCUCUGGGCCGAUACUGACGCUGAGGAGCGAAAGCGUGGGGAGCAAACAGG